CCUACGGGGGGCAGCAGGGAAUCUUCCACAAUGGACGAAAGUCUGAUGGAGCAACGCCGCGUGAGUGAAGAAGGGUUUCGGCUCGUAAAGCUCUGUUGGUAGUGAAGAAAGAUAGAGGUAGUAACUGGCCUUUAUUUGACGGUAAUUACUUAGAGAGUCACGGCUAACUACGUGCCAGCAGCCGCGGUAAUACGUAGGUGGCAAGCGUUGUCCGGAUUUAUUGGGCGUAAAGCGAGUGCAGGCGGUUCCAUAAGUCUUGUGUGAAAGCCCUCGGCUCUACCCGAGAAUUUCCUUAUAAACUUGUU
This 305-nucleotide ribosomal RNA is filed under the name uncultured bacterium. RNAcentral's name for it is "bacterial SSU rRNA". It matches the Rfam family "Bacterial small subunit ribosomal RNA", at positions 338 to 637 of the family's 1533-position model. The record is from RNAcentral.